Ceratotherium simum simum (southern white rhinoceros) is the source of this 474-nucleotide non-coding RNA. The record is from RefSeq and is a predicted model, not a curated record. Lineage: Eukaryota; Metazoa; Chordata; Mammalia; Perissodactyla; Rhinocerotidae.
UUAUCCAGCAAGAACAGUGCCUGGCACACAGUAGAUGCUUACUAUGUGGGGACUAGUACUCUUACCUGAUAAAGUCCUUGGCACGGUGCCUGGCACACAGUAGGUGCUUACUAUGCGCGGACUAGUACUGUUACAUGAUAAAGUCCUUAGCAUGGCACCUGGCACACAGUAGGUGCUUACUAUGGGGGGACUAUUACUAUUACAUGAUAAAGUCCUUAGCACGGUGCCUGGCACACAGUAGGUGCUUACUAUGCAUGGACUAGUACUGUUACAUGAUAAAGUCCUUAGCACGGUGCCUGGCACACAGUAGGUGCUUACUAUGUGGGGACUAUUACUGUUACGUGAUAAUGUCCUUAGCACUGUGCCUGGCACACAGUAGGUGCUUACUAUGUGAAGACUAGUACUGUUACCUGAUAAAGUCCUUAACAGAAUGCCUGGCACACAGUAGGUGCUGCAUAAAGGCAACUGCUAUUU